Molecule: transfer RNA, 76 nt
Filed under: Candidatus Altimarinota bacterium
Lineage: Bacteria; Candidatus Altimarinota
Description: tRNA-Lys
Rfam family: tRNA
About the family: Transfer RNA (tRNA) molecules are approximately 80 nucleotides in length. Their secondary structure includes four short double-helical elements and three loops (D, anti-codon, and T loops).
Source: RNAcentral
GGAUCGAUAGCUCAGUUGGUAGAGCGCAGGACUCUUAAUCCUUAGGUCCCGGGUUCGAGCCCCGGUCGGUCCACCA